This 464-nucleotide ribosomal RNA is filed under the name uncultured bacterium. RNAcentral describes it as "partial 16S ribosomal RNA". It matches the Rfam family "Bacterial small subunit ribosomal RNA", at positions 339 to 795 of the family's 1533-position model. The record is from RNAcentral.
CUACGGGAUGCACCAGUGGGGAAUAUUGCACAAUGGGGGAAACCCUGAUGCAGCCAUGCCGCGUGUAUGAAGAAGGCCUUCGGGUUGUAAAGUACUUUCAGCAGUGAGGAAGGGUGAUAAAUUAAUACUUUAUCAUUUUGACGUUAGCUGCAGAAGAAGCACCGGCAAACUCCGUGCCAGCAGCCGCGGUAAUACGGAGGGUGCGAGCGUUAAUCGGAAUUACUGGGCGUAAAGCGCAUGCAGGUGGUCUGUUAGGUCAGAUGUGAAAGCCCGGGGCUUAACCUCGGAAUCGCAUUUGAAACUGGCAGGCUAGAGUACUGUAGAGGGGGGUAGAAUUUCAGGUGUAGCGGUGAAAUGCGUAGAGAUCUGAAGGAAUACCGGUGGCGAAGGCGGCCCCCUGGACAGAUACUGACACUCAGAUGCGAAAGCGUGGGGAGCAAGCAGGAUUAGAUACCCCCGUAGUC